Molecule: ribosomal RNA, 1021 nt
Filed under: Mucor indicus
Lineage: Eukaryota; Fungi; Mucoromycota; Mucoromycetes; Mucorales; Mucoraceae
Description: LSU rRNA
Rfam family: Eukaryotic large subunit ribosomal RNA
Source: RNAcentral
GCAUAUCCAUAGCGAAGAAAAGAAAAAUAACAAGAUUUCCCCAGUAACGGCGAGUGAAGAGGAAAGAAGCUCAAAGUUGGAACCUGUUUGGCUUAGCUAAACCGGAUUGUAAACUGUAGAAACGUUUUCCUGGCACGCCAGAUAAAUAAGUCCUUUGGAACAGGGCAUCAUAGAGGGUGAGAAUCCCGUCUUUGGUCUGAGCUGUUGUCUAUUGCGAUACGUUUUCAAAGAGUCAGGUUGUUUGGGAAUGCAGCCUAAAUUGGGUGGUAAAUCUCACCUAAAGCUAAAUAUUUGCGAGAGACCGAUAGCGAACAAGUACCGUGAGGGAAAGAUGAAAAGAACUUUGAAAAGAGAGUUAAACAGUAUGUGAAAUUGUUAAAAGGGAACCGUUUGGAGCCAGACUGGCUUGAUCGUAAUCAAUCUAGGUUUCGACCUGGAUGCACUUGCGGUCUAUGCCUGCCAACGACAGUUCUUUCUGAAGGAUAAAACUAGGAGGAAUGUGGCCCCUCGGGGUGUUAUAGCCUUCUAGAUAAUACUUUGGAUGGGACUGAGGAACGCAGUGAAUGCUAUUAUGGCGAGAUUUCUAUUCGCUUUUUUCCGAGAAUGAGUGAAUUUCUGCUUCGGGUGGUGCAUUCGUUCUUUGGAGAAAACUCGUGUAGUUAUUUUUCUAUUCACUUAGGUUGUUGGCUUAAUGACUCUAAAUGACCCGUCUUGAAACACGGACCAAGGAGUCCACCAUUAGUGCGAGUAUUUGGGUGCCAAACCCAUAUGCGUAAGGAAACUGAUUGAUACGAACCCGCAAGGAGGCAGUAUCACCCGGCAAUGACGUUUUAUACUGAACUGACCGAGGUUAAGCACUAAUGAUGGGACCCGAAAGAUGGUGAACUAUGCCUGAAUAGGGUGAAGCCGGAGGAAACUCCGGUGGAGGCUCGUAGCGAUUCUGACGUGCAAAUCGAUCGUCAAAUUUGGGUAUAGGGGCGAAAAGACUAAAUCGAACCAUCUAGUAGCUGGGUUCCUGCGA